GUCGCGGGUAGAGCUGCCAACGAUGAAGCGGCAACAUCUUGGGAGGCUACGGGUGGAGAGGGCCAUGAAGGACGUGCCGGGCUCACACACAAUGCACUGUACCUCGCAGAACACACCACCAGAAGCAACACCAAGUACUCCUUUUCCUCAAGAAUACCCACAGGGGAGCGGAAGGAACGCAGAGGGACACGCAGGGUGUGCGUGAGAUGCGCGCAGAGUGGCUGGGAAGGAAAGCCACCGUCAUUACCGAACUUGGAACCGUUUCCCACAGGCUCGUGCUUGGACUUACUACGGAGGGAAUUCUGGGUCCAACUAUUUCAUAAAGUUAAACCUCCGGGUCUGACCAAAAGUGACGCCUGCACCGAGAGCCAGAUGGUGGAGGGGUUGUUUCUCAGAAAGCUCUGAAUUGUUGCUAUCUUGCUGAGUCAUGAAUUGUGAAUGUCCUGCAGAUCCUUCUUCGCUAAGGACUCAGGAACUGUUGACUGAUCAAUGGAAUUUUGCUGACAAAUGUAUUUAGGCAAAGAAAGCCUCUGCUGAUCAUCAGGCUUUCUGUGCUGUCGAACCAACCUCCACCUGCUGAUGGUUGGGCUGGAAUGCUGCCACCAGUUCUCUUUCCUAGAUUGGCUAACAGUGGUAGAGAAUGAGCCAAUCAUGAGUCUUAAUGAGAUGAGGCAUUUGUGUUAACACACUAAUAAUAGCUUAUUAGCAAAAGAUACUAAUUAUAUGGGUAGGGUUGCCCCCAGUCCAAAUUAUUUUUUCUCUCAGAAGAAACUUUUGUCUCCAUCAUGAUCUGAGCUAGAGUUCCCCAUCUAAGACCAUAUAUCAUCAUCAGAUUGAAUGGAGCUAAAUGCAGUUUCCAACUUUAACACUUUCAGAACCAUUAAAGAUGUCAGAAAGCAAUUUUCUCACAAGAGGGUGAAGGAAAUCUGGCUCAUUCUCCAGCAACACACUGUUAUGGGUCAGAAUUAUUUGGAGGCCUGGAAACUGAGACUAAACGAUUUUCUGUUGUGUGUGUGAAAUGAUUUUCUCAUAAAUGAGAAAGAAAUCAGUUUUGAUCUCAAUCAAUGGUAGAACAGACUUGAGGGGCUAAAUGAUUAAUUUUAAUCUUAAAAAAAUGCAGCGUUCACCAACAGUGGCCAUAGCAGAACAUAACUGAACUCUGAAGGCCUAUGAAAUACAAACUUUGCCUUUCCCUUUUCCAGGGAAAUAUCCAGUGAAUUUCCCAAACAUUGUGGUCUCCUCUAACCUGUGAUUUACAGAACCCGUGUCUAGUUCUCUGUUUUUCUCAUCUCAUUCAGGAGAUAUGUGACUGCUAGGUGAGAAUCGGAAAGGGGACGGGCUGCAUUGGACAGAGUUGAUGGUGUGCGAAAGAUGGACCGUAAUAGUGAAGGCUAGCUUAAAGGAGCACUUGUACUUUAGCAGGUGUCUAACUUUCAUGUGUUCAUAUCUUAAAAAGAAGGACGGGUUUGGCAUUUCUCCAGAUCAAAGAAAAUUGAAAGUUGACUUUUCUUACAAUUGUGGAAAGAAUUUAUGAAUUUUCAGCACCAAUUUCAGUCACGUCUUAUUUUAGGUCUCAUCAAUUGAAAGAGUUAAGAGGUUUGACGGGUCGGUCAUCAAAGUCUACAUUUCUGGCAUUUUAUUAUCUGGCCCCUAUUUGUCUCUUGAUCAUACAGACUUAGUAUCAAUUUACAGCAUUCUAAUUCCAUCUCAUUGCCAAAAAGUUUAUCAUAGAGAUUAGAUAUAUUGGCAAAAAAAUCUACGGGAAUAAAAUAGAUCAUUCAUGGACACUGUUUAUAACAGUAAAUAUUUUCCCAAUGUUUCAUUCUUACCUGUAAAGUAUUUCCACAAAUAAAUGCAACUUAAAUUUUUAUUUAAAUUUGCAAGUCAUUGUAAUGGAUAUUAUUUUUGCUGCAGGUUUAUAGAGACUCUGGCUAUCCUAGGCAAUAACAAGGCUGUAUUAUUGAAGUUGGAACGAAUGGAGCUACAGGCCAAUAUGCUUUAUCAUGACUAAUUUCUUCUCCGUUGGAAUAAUAACAGCUAAUUCUUGUCAUUUGGGUGCUCCCCUGUCAGGAUUUCUUUGUUCUCUCUCACUAAAUAUGAAAUUCAUUACUCUUUAAAUUCAUUGCUGCAGUCCUAUCAACUGCUGCAACUUACACAGGCAGCACAAGGAUACUCCAGAUUGUAUAUUUGAUGAAUUUAAUGUGACUAAUUAAAGCAAAGAUAUUUUAUAUUUUAGUCCUUAGGAAAAUUAAAGUGUCAGAGUGAAGUUGUAAUGAGCCAAAAGAUAUGACUUAUAUUGUGGAGUUUCCUGGGGAUGUUCUGAUUGUGAGCUGUGACCUCCUUACACUUGUAAGCCAAGGCAUUGAUAUUUUGUCAUUAGGUGAUAGAAUUGAGAAAGCAAUGAUGCCCUGGCUGAAGGAUUGCAAUGUGACAUUGGGAACAGUGAAGCAGAAUGGGAAAUUCAAUCAGUGCAAGGCUCACUAUGAGGAGCACAUGACUCCAAAUUGUCAUUUAAACUGAGCCAGAACUGUGAGACAAAUGUGGCCUCAUUUUAUGUGACCCAACAAAAUGCCGUAAGUUGAUGAGGGCGUUAGAGAUAACACUAUAAACAGCUAUGUGAGCCUGUUCAAGAGUGGUCUUGAGAGUGAAGCCCAGAGAAAGAGUACAAAUUGCAACAGGACACUCAUGUUAUUCAAACCUAUUAAAUGGUCAAAAGUCUACCUUAUAUGGCGAACAGCUAUCGGGAAAAAAAAGACAUAAUGGAAGCUGUUAAAAAAGGAUUUGUUACAACUGUUUCAGUCAGUUGUUUUGAUGCAUUUGAAGAUCUGUAGAACAGUAAUUCAGAUACAGCAUUGAAUGUGUUGACUGUAAAUGUGCUGAUGCCCUUCCUCUUCUUUCACUUCCUACUGUUCUUUCUAAUCAAAACCCUGUGAUUGUAAGCAUCAAAGGAUAUCGAAAAAUAACUUACAGGAAUGAUUUUGGAUGAAGAGACUUCAAUAACAAGGAGAAGCUGGGGUGGUUUGCAAAAGAAACAAUGGGGAAAUGAGGAAAAACCUAUUUAUGCUAAGGCUACUUAGGAUUUAAAUGUAGUGCCUGAGAGUGUGGUGGGAAUGUAUUCAAUUGCGGCUUUCGAAAAGGAAUUGGAAAAAUGUGUCUGAAGAGAAAACAAUGCAGGAUUAUGGGGAUGGUAAACAGGAAGUAGGCCUAUCUGUGUUGUCCUUAUAUUGUCAUGAUGAACCAAAUUGCCACCUUCUGUAUUGUAACUGCUCUUUGAUUCAAUGUUGGAAAGAGUUUCUUUGAGCAACUUUGGUAAUUAUGCUUGUGGUUCACUGUAAGUAUAAACAUCGAGCAAUUUACAACUUCCUUGAACUCAAACACAUUGAUGAUAAUUGUUUGGAUCACUCCCUUGGAGAAUUUACUUCAAAUUGGUUGCUUACUCUAUGGUGCUACACAAAUUGAGUUAUAAUUUAUAACGUACUGUGUUGAUAUGUGUAGGAAAAAAAGUCAGAAAGUAAUUUGUCUACACAGACAUUCUUUAUAGGCUUCUCUACUGACCAAUAGAAACAACUUGAAAACUACCAUUCUGGAUUUAUUGAAUCCUGCAUUUGUGGCUAUUAAAUCUGUAAACCGACACAUCUACUGUCUUCCAACUGGGCCAAACCAUAGCCUACGUAUACUGGCGUACAGUUUUAUGUCUUGUGCAUUGUCAUUCUAUGUUGCUAUUUGUCAGUACUUUUGACCAUUUCAUUUAAUCCAGUUUUCUCAGCUAGUCAAAAUCAGAUUUUCUACAAUAUAUUGACAUUGUUUCAUCAUACUUUGAUCAUUUUCUAUUAUAACUUUGAAGCAUAUUUUAUAAUGCUCAUUAAGACAUAAGAGGCCACCAUCUUUUACUUGCUGUGGUACAUUUGCUAGCAUUGCGUUCUGCUGUCUGAGGGUCCUAUACUGAUUGUAUUGAGGCCAGCCAGGUGGACUUCAUAGAAUAUGAAUUCCCUGAUCGGGGCUGUUAACCAGGCUGACAGAUAUAAACAGGAAUGUCAGAGGUUCCAUUCGCUCUGAGAGCUGACUCUGAGGAAGAUAGGCCAGAGUCAAGUACUAUGCACAUGCAAAUAAAGGGUGGCUUGGUGAUGUGGUACCAGCCUCUGUUUAGAUA
Long non-coding RNA from Stegostoma tigrinum, 4150 nucleotides. RefSeq lists it as uncharacterized. Lineage: Eukaryota; Metazoa; Chordata; Chondrichthyes; Orectolobiformes; Stegostomatidae. The record is from RefSeq and is a predicted model, not a curated record. The transcript has 3 exons.